AACGUAGGACACGAGCGUUAUCCGGAAUUACUGGGCGUAAAGCGCCUGCAGGCGGCACAAUAAGUCAUGCGUGAAAGCGCUCGGCUAAACUGGGCGAGGACGGAUGAUACUGUUGAGCUAGAGGGUGAUAGAGGCGAGUGGAAUUCCGCGUGUAGUGGUGAAAUGCGUAGAGAUGCGGAGGAACACCAGUGGCGAAGGCGGCUCGCUGGGUCACACCUGACGCUGAGAGGCGAAAGCAUGGGGAGCGAACGGG
RNAcentral lists this ribosomal RNA (253 nucleotides) under uncultured bacterium. RNAcentral describes it as "partial 16S ribosomal RNA". It matches the Rfam family "Bacterial small subunit ribosomal RNA", at positions 524 to 776 of the family's 1533-position model. The record is from RNAcentral.